RNAcentral lists this ribosomal RNA (401 nucleotides) under Nematoda environmental sample. Its description in RNAcentral is "SSU rRNA". It matches the Rfam family "Eukaryotic small subunit ribosomal RNA", at positions 29 to 436 of the family's 1831-position model. The record is from RNAcentral. Lineage: Eukaryota; Metazoa; Nematoda.
UGCUUGUCUCAAAGAUUAAGCCAUGCAUGUCCAAGCAUAAACCGAAUAUGGUAAAGCCGCGAAUGGCUCAUUACAACAGCCAUAGUUUAUUGGAUCUAGAGUCCUACUUGGAUACCUGUGGUAAUUCUAGAGCUAAUACACGCAAUCAAGCCUCAACCUUACGGGCGGGGCGCAUUUAUUAGAACAAAACCAAUUGGCUUCGGCCAUAGAUUGGUGAAUCUGAAUAACUACGCUGAUCGCACGGGCUUGUCCCGGCGACGUAUCCUUCAAGUGUCUGCCUUAUCAACUUUCGAUGGUAGUUUAUAUGACUACCAUGGUUGUAACGGGUAACGGAGAAUAAGGGUUCGACUCCGAGAGGGAGCCUGAGAAACGGCUACCACAUCCRAGGAAGGCAGCAGGCA